GAAAAUAUGAGACCCCGACCAUUAAAUUUCAUGUCGAAAUAGUCUUGAAGUUCAUAUAUAUAUAUAUGUGCAUUAUGCAACUAAAGAAAGAAAAUCAACAAAACUUUGGACCUCGCUUUACAUAUUUACAUCACCGUGGUUCGUUCUUUACUGUUCUUCAGCUCUCCACACUUGUCGGAGCAGCUGAUAUCUAACAACUUUCCGAUCACCCCUCCCCUUGGCGAUCAAGUUGAUCUUUGCUAGAUUAGGAGAACCCCGGAAUCUAUCAGCUACGAUUGAACUCA
RNAcentral lists this unclassified non-coding RNA (284 nucleotides) under Hevea brasiliensis (rubber tree). Lineage: Eukaryota; Viridiplantae; Streptophyta; Magnoliopsida; Malpighiales; Euphorbiaceae. The record is from RNAcentral.